RNAcentral lists this ribosomal RNA (253 nucleotides) under uncultured bacterium. Its description in RNAcentral is "partial 16S ribosomal RNA". It matches the Rfam family "Bacterial small subunit ribosomal RNA", at positions 524 to 776 of the family's 1533-position model. The record is from RNAcentral.
UACGAAGGGGGCUAGCGUUGCUCGGAAUCACUGGGCGUAAAGGGUGCGUAGGCGGGUCUUUAAGUCAGAGGUGAAAUCCUGGAGCUCAACUCCAGAACUGCCUUUGAUACUGAAGAUCUUGAGUUCGGGAGAGGGAUGCGGAAUUCCAGGUGUAGCGGUGAAAUGCGUAGAUAUCUGGAGGAACACCGGUGGCGAAGGCGGCAUCCUGGACCGACACUGACGCUGAGGAGCGAAAGCCAGGGGAGCAAACGGG